GCGGGCAUGGACACGCGAUCAGAUUCGCUACCGCAGAGCUCUAGCUCCGGAGCGCGCCAAGUUGAAGGCCAAAGUCGAGGUUGGGAUGCCCGAUGCCUGGCGCGGGGAGACGGAGGAAGCAAAGUGCUGGAAGGAAGCAAGACUGGUAGCUGAGAUGAAAGAGGUGGUGGAGGAAUGAAUUGGUUUGGAAAAGUGAAGACAUUUUUGUAGAGGAGAACUGAAUGAGUUGCUGACAAAUGUCAGUAGGACUGCCAGGCAGUGCUGAGGACCUUGUUGAGAGUGACCUUCAAUAUUGCUAAUAAUGAGCCUGGUCAUGUGGUUUUUCUCAAAUAGCAUCCAGCUGACCAGGUGUAACUAAAGAGGUGGCAGCCAGGAGAUUUUCCAGGGCUAGAGUUCUACAAGACAGAGGCAAUGUGAGAGCAUCAAGGCAAGGAAGUUUCUGAUAUCAUUGACUGUGUGGCUGCCAUGCUAGACCUGGGAAUUGAGGCUGGAUAUGGACGGAGGUGAAGGGAGGAUGUGGCAAAUAGAGGAAAAUCUAGGAGUCAAUAACUAGGCAAUGACAAAGAACUGAUGUAUGAAACUAGUUGGGUGAGUGAGCUAGAUGGAUCCAAGGGAGUGUUGGAGAGUGGGGAAUCUGGACUCUGGACUCUGACUUAGGUGAAUGGCAUGAUCAGCCCAGAGUUUGACCAAGAGCAAAAGUGGCUUACGUGGAGUGAAGAGGAAGGUCAUUGGAGAUGAGGAGGUCAAACUGAGGGGCCUUUGUGUUGGAGGAAUUGCCCAUAUAAUGUACUGAAGUCACUGAGGAUGAUGGUGGACCUUCAGGAGAGAGGAGGAUCAUGGGCUAAAGAUUAAAGUCUUCACGACUGCCUGGUGGAAAUACAGUAUUAUAUAAUGACAUGCUACUAUGCAUCUCUACCUAACUCCUCGUCUGGUGAUGCCAUAUUGAAAUCAGCCAUACUGAGAGUAUUUACACACUGCUGAAGUCAGUAAAUGCUACAAAUCAAGGCUUGAAUGUAACCUACAUGAGAAAGAGUUGCCUUGCUCACUGCCGUAUCCCAGUAUCCCAAGAACCUUGGAGAUGCUCUAUGAAUACUGAAUGAAUCUGAGAGGAAACUAGCCCGAAGGGGGAAGGCUCUGGAAGCAAGCCCUCAUGGACCAACGGAGAGUGAGUGUCAUCAUUUUAUGUUUUCUCCAAAUCUUGUAAACAAUGUGUUUUAGUCUUAGCCUGUCAUAUGCAGCUGAAAUCUGGGGCAAAUAAAAUCACAUAGAUGCAUGUGGCUCUGUGUUAUUAUUACAGGCAAGCGAGGUAAAAUUGAAGGAUGCAAACUUGAAGGGCGUAUCACUCUCAGAUUCAUGUAAGUGCAGGGUCAGCCCCGAGAGUGGGCACCUCCUUACAUUUUGUGCCCUGGGAUUCUCCCUUGCUUUACCUUAGCCUUGAUUCUACAGCAGGUCUCUUCCAGGAACUCCCAAUUCCACAGCCUAAUGGACAUCUCCAACUCUAGCAGCUGCUUCUUUCAGACACAGCCAGAGAGCAGCAUAUACAAGAGAAUGCUUAGCUGAGGCAAAGUUUUAUUCACUCUGUCUAGCUUAGAGACAUAAUAAACUCCAGGGGCUGAAUGACGGCUCUAAAUGCUGAGAGAUAGGCCAAAGCAGUAAGAAGGAGGCAUUACUUAUUUUAGAAUAAGCGCCAUGUCAUUACCUUAUUGCUGAAAUCUUGAAGCUCAGGUGUUGACUAUUACUACGAUUAGGUCUGAUGGUAUCGCACACCCAGGAUGCCAACAGCGCCAACUCCCGCUGAUUGAGUUCCCACUGUGUGCCAAGAAAGAAGACACUAGGCCUUCAUGUACAUUGUUUCAUUCAUCAACCAGCACCCUAACUAACUCUCUUUUCUUGGUAUUUCCUGUAUGUCAGAAAAGGAAACUGAAUCUUGGGGAGAUUAAGCAACUCUUUCAAGGUCAACCGGGGAGCGGCAGAACCAGAGUUCGAAGGAAACCUUUCUGAAUCUGACGUCUGCCCCUUCUAAAUUAGGACUCUCAUCUAUCAGCCUGUGAGAAAAAAUACAGAAAGCAUCAUUCAGGCAACACAUGAACUCAAGACACUGAGACUUCGCUAACCUUCCUCGCACACAAGGUCCUAAAGGAACUACCACACGCAUGUCCACAUUUGAUGCACAUAACAGACUCUCACCGCAUUGAAAUAAACCCCAGUAUGAUCAUAAUAGCUUUUUUCUUUCAAUUUUUAUUGAACACAAGUAUUCCGACAGAAUGCAAAGUCAAAAUUCUCAGUUAGUACUCAGUAUUUACACCAGUGAGAAUGGAAACAAAGGUGGUAUCGAUGUUUCACUUGGUAAAAAGUUUUAUAACAAGAGAGAAGGCCCCCGAAGUACAGAAUGCUGGGUAGGGAUGUUAAUGGAGGUCUGAAAACCGCCAUCCAGACAGACAGCCUCAAGUGAAAACCUGGGACUCGGAAGGCUCCAUAGAAAAGUGUGAAAAUAGAGUUCCACCUCCAAAGCUGCACUAUAUACACCACAGCCCUGCAGGGUCCAGUGGCCCUGCUCGUCACACUUGAGUGCUCCUCCAGCAGAACUUGGCCAUGCCGGUCUUCAUGUGAAUACAUAUGUAUGGCACAUACACACAUAGACACAUAGACAUUGGAAACUGGAGUUGAUCCCUCCUUCAAAAAUUAAAAAAGAAAAUUAUAAGCUUUGAUCUCUUAACAUAAAAGAUAAAACAUCUUGGAAUAAAAUGACUCCCUCUUUGAUUUUAGAGAAAGCAUUGCUUUUUUUUUUUUUUUUUUUUUUUUUUUAAAGGAAAAACUCUUGCAUGCUGAGACAAACCUAUGUGUAAUGGGAGAGAACAGACCAAAAUGUGGGCAGAGUCUUAGGUCCUAGCUAAUGGCAGAGCCAGGGUUCUAGGGGGUCAGCUGUCCCGGGCCAGGUGAUCUGAGGGCUGACCUGUUUCUUCCUAACCAUCAGAACCAAAACCAGUUUGACCUAACCACAACCACUUUGACAGUCUUGACAAGGUAUGGCAUGGGCUUGGCCUGGUGUGGCAAAGCCAUCGACAUUACAAGAUGAAGAACUGAGUCCACUGAACAGCCUGGUGACCAGAAGAGCCUGCCCCUCACUGCUGGGCCCUCCCGGUCUCAGACACCCAGGCUCUCACAUUCUACUGUGUGCUCUAAGAUCUCUCUUCAUGUUCCUCUAUUCUGAGGGCCUGUGCAUUUGAACCAGAGAUCUGUGCAGGCCCUAGAAUCAAAGGGGCCAGGGCUGUGUGUUCUGGGAUCCUCCAUUUCCAUCCCCAGGAGCUGAGAAAAUGCAACAUAACCCCACAUUGAGCAAAUGACAAGACCAUUAUUCUUCACAGUUUGAAAUUAUAAUCUAGCAUCGCCACUGAUCAGACUGCAGAAGUGUCAGAACGUUGGGGAGAGUGGCCCACAGAAUGGACCCAGAGGCAGCCUUGCCACCCUAACCUCUUGCUGCUUUGUACCUUAGGAGAGGAGCGCAUGCGGAGUACUGAUUUCUGUUUACUUAGCAUCAUCUUCAUCAUCAUCAUCAUCAUCUGUAUUUCAUUUUCUUUGUUAAAAGGCUUCGAUUCCGUUUGAGUGAUUUUUGUUUCCUGAAUAUUUUUUCUGAACUAUCUGCUAUACCUUCCACAACCAAACUAUGUUGAAGUUUUAUUUCAAUACUAUGACAAAAACACGUUUCACACUAAAAUAUUCACGCAUCCACAGUGCACAAGCUUGCAGUUCUAAAGUAGAAUGAGGGAAAAAAAAGCAAAAUUUCUAUACAAAGGGCUGGCUUUUCCCUUCUCCCCCCCCUCCCAUCCCCCUUAAAGUUUCUGUAUUUUUUCCCCCACUUGGUUUCCAAUCCAGGAAAGUUGUGUUAUGACUCCAGACAGUAGGUUGUUUCUUUCUUCUUUUGUUUCUAUAAAUGCUGCCUAAGUGAACAGAAG
RNAcentral lists this long non-coding RNA (3953 nucleotides) under Homo sapiens (human). Its description in RNAcentral is "HSALNT0364920". Lineage: Eukaryota; Metazoa; Chordata; Mammalia; Primates; Hominidae. The record is from RNAcentral.